Molecule: long non-coding RNA, 684 nt
Organism: Aedes aegypti (yellow fever mosquito)
Lineage: Eukaryota; Metazoa; Arthropoda; Insecta; Diptera; Culicidae
Exons: 2
Source: RefSeq, a predicted model, not a curated record
GGCUGAAAUGGACAUAUUAGGUCAUAUGAAUAAAACCGAGUACUUGCUCAUGCUCAACCCGAUUUAAGCAAAGUAAAGUCUCUGAGCAUUUACUCAAAACCGUAUGAAUAAAACGAUACUUUGCUCAGAGUAAGUUCGAAUUUCGAACUUAGCUUUUACUCUGUCAAAAAUGUUGUUUUUGUUUUUUCCAACUUAGUUUUGCGAGGAAGAAGAUCUCCAGUGGUGCAAAUAUUAGUGUUUUUGCGGAUCUUUACCUUUUGCUGCCCGGGGAAACUCCACCGGGAAGAAACUGAGACCAUCCUGCGACACCCACAAGGACUACUAACGGGACCUGUGAAGAUAGCCCAAGUAAGAUGAUGCUGCGGAGAACACGCAUGACGGCCCGGUCCGUAACGGUGACUAUGCUGUCCUUCGGAACUGGUGCCCAGGAAGAAACAUAGGCGCACCAAACGACAGCACACACUGGACAGAUCAAACUGGCGAAAAUUCUCGCGGUCAAUUUGGCUACCAUGAAUAGGUUCAACAUGCCACAUGCGACCGGAUUGGCACGCGGUGAAAAUGGCCCGAGUAUCAGCGGCACCGUAUUUAAACUCUCCAGUGCGAUGAGCAAAAAUAUUGCAAAACAGUGGCACAAACGGCCGUCGCAGGCUGCUGAAACAAGUAAAUAAAUUUCAGUACAAAACU